Molecule: ribosomal RNA, 520 nt
Filed under: uncultured Glomus
Lineage: Eukaryota; Fungi; Glomeromycota; Glomeromycetes; Glomerales; Glomeraceae
Description: SSU rRNA
Rfam family: Eukaryotic small subunit ribosomal RNA
Source: RNAcentral
AGCAGCCGCGGUAAUUCCAGCUCCAAUAGCGUAUAUUAAAGUUGUUGCAGUUAAAAAGCUCGUAGUUGAAUUUCGGGGUUAGUAGGUUGGUCAUGCCUCUGGUAUGUACUGGUCUCACUGAUUCCUCCUUCCUGAUGAGCCGUAAUGCCAUUAAUUUGGUGUUGCGGGGAAUUUGGACUGUUACUUUGAAAAAUUAGAGUGUUUAAAGCAAGCUAACGCUUGAAUACAUUAGCAUGGAAUAAUGAAAUAGGACGUUUGAUUCUAUUUUGUUGGUUUCUAGGAUCGACGUAAUGAUUAAUAGGGAUAGUUGGGGGCAUUAGUAUUCAAUUGUCAGAGGUGAAAUUCUUGGAUUUAUUGAAGACUAACUACUGCGAAAGCAUUUGCCAAGGAUGUUUUCAUUAAUCAAGAACGAAAGUUAGGGGAUCGAAGACGAUCAGAUACCGUCGUAGUCUUAACCAUAAACUAUGCCGACUAGGGAUCGGAUGAUGUUAAUUUUUAAUGACUCAUUCGGCGCCUUAAC